RNAcentral lists this ribosomal RNA (468 nucleotides) under uncultured bacterium. RNAcentral's name for it is "partial 16S ribosomal RNA". It matches the Rfam family "Bacterial small subunit ribosomal RNA", at positions 28 to 507 of the family's 1533-position model. The record is from RNAcentral.
GACGAACGCUGGCGGCGUGCUUAACACAUGCAAGUCGAACGGAAAGGCCCUGCUUUUGUGGGGUGCUCGAGUGGCGAACGGGUGAGUAACACGUGAGUAACCUCCCCUUGACUUUGGGAUAACUUCAGGAAACUGGGGCUAAUACCGGAUAGGAGCUCCUGCUGCAUGGUGGGGGUUGGAAAGUUUCGGCGGUUGGGGAUGGACUCGCGGCUUAUCAGCUUGUUGGUGGGGUAGUGGCUUACCAAGGCUUUGACGGGUAGCCGGCCUGAGAGGGUGACCGGCCACAUUGGGACUGAGAUACGGCCCAGACUCCUACGGGAGGCAGCAGUGGGGAAUAUUGCACAAUGGGCGGAAGCCUGGUGCAGCAACGCCGCGUGCGGGAUGACGGCCUUCGGGUUGUAAACCGCUUUCGCCUGUGACGAAGCGUGAGUGACGGUAAUGGGUAAAGAAGCACCGGCUAACUACGUG